UACGAAGGGGGCGAGCGUUGUUCGGAUUUACUGGGCGUAAAGGGCGCGCAGGCGGCUCAUUUUGUCAGGCGUGAAAGCCCCGGGCUUAACCUGGGAACUGCGUUUGAUACGGAUGGGCUAGAGUUCGGGAGAGGGGAGUGGAAUUCCCAGUGUAGAGGUGAAAUUCGUAGAUAUUCGGAAGAACAUCGGUGGCGAAGGCGGCCUUCUGGACGGAUACUGACGCUGAGAUGCGAAAGCGUGGGGAGCAAACAGG
This 253-nucleotide ribosomal RNA is filed under the name uncultured bacterium. RNAcentral's name for it is "partial 16S ribosomal RNA". It matches the Rfam family "Bacterial small subunit ribosomal RNA", at positions 524 to 776 of the family's 1533-position model. The record is from RNAcentral.